GACGAACGCUGGCGGCGUGCUUAACACAUGCAAGUCGAACGGUGAAGCUCCAGCUUGCUGGAGUGGAUCAGUGGCGAACGGGUGAGUAACACGUGAGCAACCUGCCCCAGACUCUGGAAUAAGCGCUGGAAACGGCGUCUAAUACUGGAUACGAGAUCAAGCCGCAUGGUUAUGGUCUGGAAAGUUUUUCGGUUUGGGAUGGGCGCGCGGCCUAUCAGCUUGUUGGUGAGGUAAUGGCUCACCAAGGCGACGACGGGUAGCCGGCCUAAGAGGGCGACCGGCCACACUGGGACUGAGACACGGCCCAGACUCCUACGGGAGGCAGCAGUGGGGAAUAUUGCACAAUGGGCGAAAGCCUGAUGCAGCGACGCCGCGUGAGGGAUGACGGCCUUCGGGUUGUAAACCUCUUUCAGCAGGGAAGAAGCGAAAGUGACGGUACCUGCAGAAGAAGCACCGGCUAACUACGUG
RNAcentral lists this ribosomal RNA (468 nucleotides) under uncultured bacterium. RNAcentral describes it as "partial 16S ribosomal RNA". It matches the Rfam family "Bacterial small subunit ribosomal RNA", at positions 28 to 507 of the family's 1533-position model. The record is from RNAcentral.